RNAcentral lists this long non-coding RNA (820 nucleotides) under Bos taurus (domestic cattle). RNAcentral describes it as "long non-coding RNA NONBTAT000603". The record is from RNAcentral. Lineage: Eukaryota; Metazoa; Chordata; Mammalia; Artiodactyla; Bovidae.
GGUAUGCUUUAAAAUAUUUUGUAUUUGUUUUCUUUCUCAAAAUUAAUUUGCUUUUGUCAAAAUUACUGAGAACAUUAAAGAAAGUGCCUCUUUAAACAAAUUCACCAGAAGUUUAAAAACUAAAAAAAAAAAAAAAAACGCAAAUACUAUUUUUGGCUACUAAAAGAUCCUGGACUUAAGGAAAAUGAUGAAUUCUGAAGAAACACAAUGUAAGUCUAUUAAGACCUUGAUUAACCAAAAUUUAAUGAGCCGAACCCAUUAAUUUUCUUUAAAAAGAUUAUUUUUGAAAGAACAACAUACAUAUUAUUGGAUGGGUCCCAGAAUCUGCAUAUACUCACUUUCUAUGGCCUGACUUCCAGAAUCAUGUUAAAUAACGGUAGCAGGUGUCUUGUCUUGUUGGCCUCUACUACUUCUCUGUUCUGAUGAUAUCUUUUAUCAUAUUAAGGAUAUUCUUUAUUCCACUUUUAACAGAGUUUUUAAUAAGGAAUCGGUGUUUGGUAUCUGUUGACAUAAUCUUGUAGCUUAUGUUAUUUAGCCAAUUGAGUGACAAAGUAUUGAUUUUGUAUCAUUACACUCUCUAUGACUAAAUCCAAGCUAGCAAAAACACCACCGCAUUUUAUAACCUGGUAAUAAAUAUUGAACCAAAAAGCAAUUUCUAAUGAAAGCCCUUGUUAAUCAGAAAUGUCAGAAUCCCUUUCUUAAAACAUUAACUGAGGUUUUACUGAAUCAGACUAGAGAAUGACCAGUUUGGUCUGUGAGUAUCAGGCUGCAAGAGCACCUUUGAAUUGAAGACCCCACAGGGAUUGAACAGUAAUAUACU